This 55-nucleotide small nucleolar RNA is filed under the name Marmota monax (woodchuck). Lineage: Eukaryota; Metazoa; Chordata; Mammalia; Rodentia; Sciuridae. The record is from RNAcentral.
CAUGUGAGAGGUGUCUCCCUCAAACCCUGUUACAACAGAGGUACAUUACCUGCUU